GAUGAACGCUGGCGGCGUGCCUAAUACAUGCAAGUCGAGCGAACAGACGAGGAGCUUGCUCCUCUGACGUUAGCGGCGGACGGGUAAGUAACACGUGGAUAACCUACCUAUAAGACUGGGAUAACUUCGGGAAACCGGAGCUAAUACCGGAUAAUAUAUUGAACCGCAUGGUUCAAUAGUGAAAGACGGUUUUGCUGUCACUUAUAGAUGGAUCCGCGCCGCAUUAACUAGUUGGUAAGGUAACGGCUUACCAAGGCAACGAUGCGUAGCCGACCUGAGAGGGUGAUCGGCCACACUGGAACUGAGACACGGUCCAGACGCCUACGGGAGGCAGCAGUAGGGAAUCUUCCGCAAUGGGCGAAAGCUUGACGGAGCAACGCCGCGUGAGUGAUGAAGGUCUUCGGAUCGUAAAACUCUGUUAUUAGGGAAGAACAAAUGUGUAAGUAACUAUGCACGUCUUGACGGUACCUAAUCAGAAAGCCACGGCUAACUACGUG
This 497-nucleotide ribosomal RNA is filed under the name uncultured bacterium. RNAcentral's name for it is "partial 16S ribosomal RNA". It matches the Rfam family "Bacterial small subunit ribosomal RNA", at positions 28 to 507 of the family's 1533-position model. The record is from RNAcentral.